Molecule: RNA transcript, 1097 nt
Organism: Nicotiana attenuata
Lineage: Eukaryota; Viridiplantae; Streptophyta; Magnoliopsida; Solanales; Solanaceae
Exons: 4
Source: RefSeq, a predicted model, not a curated record
AAUUGCUAAGAGAGAAGGAAUGUCUUGACUUGUUGAGUAAAAGGGACUGUUAGUAGGAAAGGACCAAUUGGAAGGGAAAUAAUAAGCAUAGAAAAAUGGAUCCUCCUCCUCCUCCUCUUCAUACGCAGACAACAGAGUUACCGACUAGUUGGCGAGGUGCCAAAUUUAUUUGGCGUGCUGUUCUCAUCUUCAAUCUCGGCCUCGGAGCCUACCUCUUUACAAGGCCCGCUAAGAAGGAAAGAAAGGCCAACACUGCACCACCUGUUAUUCCAGCUGAGACUACUACUCCCACUCCGCCUGCUCCUCAAAAUUUUGAACCCAUCUUUACUCCUAUUCCAGAACCUGUGAAGGUACCAGAGCCCCUUUCUGUAGAUCAGCAGCGCAGUGUUUUUGAAUGGAUGCUAGAAGAGAAGAGGAAGGUCAAACCUCAAAAUCGAGAAGAAAAGAAGAGAAUCAAUGAAGAAAAAGCUCUACUGAAACAGUUCAUACGAGCAGAUUCCAUUCCGAAGAUCUGAUUGAUCAAGAAUUUGAUGACUAUAGAGAUAGAGGUUGAGUUCUGCUCCUAUUAUUAAUUAGGUCCUGCCUAGGACUGUGUAUGGGAGCAGACAGACAGACAGACAUCUACUUGAGGAAGAGAGCUUACCUCUUUACAAGGCCUGCUAAGAAAGGAAAGGAAAACUACCGCUAAACUACGCAUUACUCCAAGUAAGACUACUACUCUCACUCUGCCCCUCUCUGUAGAGCAGUAGCACAGUAUUUUUGAAUGGAUGCUAGAAGAAAAGCGGAAGAUCAAACCUCAAGACCAAGAAGAAAAGAAAGAAAGGCGCUAAAGAAAAAUCUCUACUGAAGUAGUUCAUAUGAACAGAUUCCAUCUUGAAGAUCUGAUACAAACCUGGCCGUUCAUUUAAUUCCAUUUUUCGUCGGCUGAGAUUAGUUUUACUGGUACACAUUUACUACUUGGCAUAAUUUUCUUAAAUUAGUUCACAUUUGAUCUAACUGAUACUACUGCUGUUUUAGGAGGCAGUAAUUGAUGAUAAAUGAUUAGAUAUAAUAGAUAUUUUUGUUGUUAGUGGAGGAAAUUAAAUGGAGUUGCAUUA